RNAcentral lists this transfer RNA (74 nucleotides) under Candidatus Palauibacterales bacterium. RNAcentral's name for it is "tRNA-Pro". It matches the Rfam family "tRNA". From Rfam's summary of the family: Transfer RNA (tRNA) molecules are approximately 80 nucleotides in length. Their secondary structure includes four short double-helical elements and three loops (D, anti-codon, and T loops). Further hydrogen bonds mediate the characteristic L-shaped molecular structure. tRNAs have two regions of fundamental functional importance: the anti-codon, which is responsible for specific mRNA codon recognition, and the 3' end, to which the tRNAs corresponding amino acid is attached (by aminoacyl-tRNA synthetases). tRNAs cope with the degeneracy of the genetic code in two manners: having more than one tRNA (with a specific anti-codon) for a particular amino acid; and 'wobble' base-pairing, i.e. permitting non-standard base-pairing at the 3rd anti-codon position. RNAcentral also lists the same sequence under 1 other name. The record is from RNAcentral. Lineage: Bacteria; Pseudomonadati; Gemmatimonadota; Gemmatimonadia; Candidatus Palauibacterales.
CGGGGAGUGGCGCAGUCCGGCAGCGCGCUGCGUUCGGGUCGCAGAGGUCCCGGGUUCAAAUCCCGGCUCCCCGA